Molecule: unclassified non-coding RNA, 2045 nt
Filed under: Sipha flava (yellow sugarcane aphid)
Lineage: Eukaryota; Metazoa; Arthropoda; Insecta; Hemiptera; Aphididae
Description: solute carrier family 25 member 46-like, transcript variant X2
Source: RNAcentral
UGCUAGGGAUAUUUUCAAAUUUUAAAACAGCUGAAAUCAAAAAAAAGUUAUCUAUUUGUAAGUUGAAAUGUAAUUGGAAAUAUUUGCUUAUAGUUAUAUUUCAAAUAAAUUAUUUCAAAAUAAAAUUUUUCCUAACAGUAUAGUUAAAAGUAUAACCAGUACACUAUACUAUUAAAUUACUUAUUAAAUUUAGUCUAUUGAGUGGUAUAUAAUCUGUAUAUUCUGAAAAUUACUGUAAAUCAUGGCUGGUUUAGAAUCUUUUGAUAUGGAUUACCAGAGACACCGACCAUCAAGAAGUAUAUCAGAACAUCCAUUUGAGCCACAACAUGAUGUUCUGAGUACUGACAUAAUAAGACAACAACAACGUAACACAUUACUUGAAAUAUCUAAAAAAAGAGAUAAAUCUGUUAAUGAUUCUGUGAAUAAAUGUCUUAAACCCACUUGUUUAAUAUUGCAACACGUUGUCAGCUAUCCAUUUAUUGUACUCCGAAGACAGUGCCAGUUACAUUAUGCUUCUGUGCGUUAUCAUAUUGUGCCAUUUUCAUUAAUUCCAGUUGUAUUUAGACUAGUUAAAAGUCAAGGAAUUUCCGUUUUAUGGAAAGGAUUUGGAACAGUAUUACUUAUCAAAGGGGUGACAAUGGCUGUUGAAGCAAUUUUAUCUGAAAUUUUUGAUUUACCCAAAGAUGCUGAUUCUAUAAAUAAUUCAAAAAGUUUUGGAAAACAUAUUAUUUUAAAAUGUGUCAGUUUGAGUAUAAUUACCCCAUUUUAUUCCGCAUGUUUAGUUGAAACUGUUCAAAGUAAUAUUGCUAGUGAAAAAACUGCAGUUUAUGAUGUAUUUAAAGAAGGAUUUAUUAGACUUCUUCAAUGGAAUUGUCCACAAAAAGGACGCAUGUUACCAGUAUGGAUUAUAGUUGUACCCACAGUUAUAUAUGGAGUUUUUAAAUGUAUAACAAAUAUAUUAGUUAGUAAAAGUGUUAAACACAUGUUAACUAUGUAUGAAAUUCAUAAAAUUCGUAAAGUGUGUCCCAAAUCAAUUGAAUAUUCUCCUUCAUAUUCCGAUAAUGAACGUUUAGAAGCAGUUUCUGAUUUAACUGCUUCUGCAGUUGGUGAUGCUGUUCUUUUUCCUCUGGAAAUAAUUAUGCAUCGUCUUUAUUUGCAAGGCACUCGUACCAUAAUUGACAAUUUAGAUACGGGAAUUUCUGUUAUGCCAAUAUUAACUGGUUAUGUAGGACCAUUGGACUGUUUAGUAACUACUGUUGAAAAAGAAGGACGGUUAGGUUUGUUUAAAGGAUUUGGUGCAUUGAUUCUUCAAACAGCAUUAAUUGGAAUGUUGUAUAAAUUUGUCAAAAUUACUCUUGUUAAAGUUGUUGAUUCUUAUUCUACUGAACUUCAAUCCUCUUCAGUUAAUACACAAAAUAAUCUUAAUAAUCAAAUGAGUACACCAGAACAAUCAAGAAUGGAACUGGCAGAUAUCCGACCAAUAAUGCGAUCAACAUCAUUUAUGAUGUGAACAGGUAUCGCAGGUGCGCCGCCAGGCAACGCUGAGGUGAUACUAUUAUACAGGUGAGGUGGUGAAAUGCCAAUGCCACACCGCCUCGACCACUUCUGUCGACGCUGUAGCAUCUACAGACGACAGCAAACGCGAACGUUCAGUUCACGGCGCAAUCGUCGUCCGUUUAUUAUUGUUUUUCUUGUCUUUUCGAACGCGAUAUAAAUAUUAUUGUUUACGGUUUUUUUACCUCUCUCUCCUUCCGUUGUUAUUUUCAUUAUUAUUUUUCCACUUCUAUAUUCUUUUAUAAUUCACUCGCGUGCGCCGUGAAACGAUGAUUGUAUCGGUUCGUUCGUUUUUACCGCGGUGAUGAUGGUAUCGGGGCGACCGUUUUUCCCAUGUUCAUAACAACAAUUACGACCUCCACCACUAACGCUGCACCGUCGCCCUGUCUCGUUUGAGUAGACGCUGUUGCAGCCGUUCGCAAACCGCCCACCGUCUCCACCGGUCGCUGUUGCCCAGUUGUGGCCGUACCGUUCGUCGGUUAUUCAAAUGU